GGGGAAUUUUUCGCAAUGGGCGCAAGCCUGACGAAGCAACGCCGCGUAGAGGAUGAAGGCCCUCGCGGUCGUAAACUCUUGUCUAGCGGGACGAAACCUUUGCAGAUGAAUAAUCUGCAGAAUUGACUGUACCGCUGGAGGAAGCUCCGGCCAACUCCGUGCCAGCAGCCGCGGUAAUACGGAGGGAGCAAGCGUUACUCGGAAUUACUGGGAGUAAAGGGCGCGUAGGCGGCCCGAGAAGUUCUGGGUGAAAGCCCCCGGCUCAACCGGGGAAGUGCCUGGAAAACCAUCGGGCUGGAGUGCUGGAGAGGCAAGCGGAAUUUCUGGUGUAGCGGUGAAAUGCGUAGAUAUCAGAAGGAACACCUGCGGCGAAGGCGGCUUGCUGGACGGACACUGACGCUGAGGCGCGAAAGCCAGGGGAGCAA
RNAcentral lists this ribosomal RNA (425 nucleotides) under uncultured bacterium. Its description in RNAcentral is "bacterial SSU rRNA". It matches the Rfam family "Bacterial small subunit ribosomal RNA", at positions 356 to 771 of the family's 1533-position model. The record is from RNAcentral.